RNAcentral lists this ribosomal RNA (372 nucleotides) under uncultured organism. RNAcentral's name for it is "bacterial SSU rRNA". It matches the Rfam family "Bacterial small subunit ribosomal RNA", at positions 526 to 896 of the family's 1533-position model. The record is from RNAcentral.
CAGAGGGUGCGAGCGUUGUCCGGAAUCACUGGGCGUAAAGGGCGCGUAGGCGGCCUCAUAAGUCGGGGGUGAAAUCCUGUGGCUCAACCACAGGGCUGCCUCCGAGACUGUCGGGCUCGAGCACAGUAGAGGCAGGUGGAAUUCCCGGUGUAGCGGUGGAAUGCGUAGAGAUCGGGAAGAACAUCGGUGGCGAAGGCGGCCUGCUGGGCUGUUGCUGACGCUGAGGCGCGACAGCGUGGGGAGCAAACAGGAUUAGAUACCCUGGUAGUCCACGCCGUAAACGAUGGGCACUAGGCGUCGGGGGGAGCGACCCUCCCGGUGCCGUCGCUAACGCAGUAAGUGCCCCGCCUGGGGAGUACGGCCGCAAGGCUG